UCUGAAAAUUGGUAAUGAUGGCUUGAAAAAUACAUGAAAAUCGUGAAUAGCGCUGGAGAUCCUUGUAUGUUGCUUGAAAUUCGUCGGUGAAGGCGCCAAUGGCUUGGGUUAGUGAUGCUCUGCUCAAAACACUUUCGAAAUUGUGAAAUGGUGCGAAAAAAUAUUCUCCCGACAUUCGGGGUGAAAAAUUGAAAGCACAUUGAUGAAGCCGUCGUCGCCGGAAAUUCGUCGGUGAAGGUGCAACUGGACUGAGUAGAUGAAGGGCUUCUUGGAUCUGGGUCGAAAAUCUGGAAUGGUUUGAAAAAAAUAUCUCCCGACGUUUGUCUCGAAAAUCACGCCAUGGCAAACAAGAGAGAGAAUGCUUUCAGCCAUUUUUAUCGGCAAUUGGUGUCCGAAAUGGGAUUGCAGCAGCGGCAAACAGCUAAUGGACCCAUAUUUUUUUGCUUUAAUGUCUUCAUUUUUCUGGGUUAGUUGGAGCGGCGGCAGCAAGCAGGGUGGAAUCAAGAUUGGUUGUGACUAGUAUCCAAUAUUGAGGCGUGUUGUCACUUAAUUAAUGUUAGUUUGUGUUAAUUACGACAAUGAUAAUAAGUUGCAGUGGGUUUGCUUGUUUGUUAGUAUAUUGGAAAAGUUUCUAGGGAGAGAGAGAGAGAUGCUUAUGUUCAAUUCAACAGUGUGUUUUUUUAGAGAGAGAGAGUUAUGGCAGAGAGAUGCUUAUGUUGGUUAUGGCACUUGGGGUUGGGCGUCGUCUUCUUCUUUCUUCUUCUGCUUUCUCUUUCAGCUGUGUUUUAUCACAGUGCUACAACUACAGUCUUGUGACGCAACUGUGUCUCUCUCGGCUUCACACAAAUCUGAGUUUAAAUUUUAUUCAAAUAUUUAAGGCUUAAUUGUACGAAAUAUAUUCGAAUUUCAAUUUUUAAUUUAUAGUAAUUAUUUUUGUUUA
This is a long non-coding RNA of Salvia miltiorrhiza (redroot sage), 940 nucleotides long. RefSeq lists it as uncharacterized. The record is from RefSeq and is a predicted model, not a curated record. Lineage: Eukaryota; Viridiplantae; Streptophyta; Magnoliopsida; Lamiales; Lamiaceae. The transcript is spliced from 2 exons.